AAUCAACGCUGGCGGCGUGCCUAACACAUGCAAGUCGAACGCGAGAGGGGCUUCGGCCCCGAUUGAGUGGCGAACGGGUGAGUAACGCGUGGGUGACCUACCUUCGAGUGGGGGAUAACGUCCCGAAAGGGACGCUAAUACCGCAUAACAUCCUGCUUUUGAAUGGGUGGAGAUCAAAGCCGGGGAUCGCAAGACCUGGCGCUUGAUGAGGGGCCCGCGUCUGAUUAGCUAGUUGGGAGGUAACGGCCCACCAAGGCAACGAUCAGUAUCCGGCCUGAGAGGGCGGACGGACACACUGGGACUGAGACACGGCCCAGACGUCUACGGGAGGCAGCAGUGGGAAUUGUCGCAAUGGGCGCAAGCCUGACGACGC
This 373-nucleotide ribosomal RNA is filed under the name uncultured bacterium. RNAcentral's name for it is "bacterial SSU rRNA". It matches the Rfam family "Bacterial small subunit ribosomal RNA", at positions 29 to 392 of the family's 1533-position model. The record is from RNAcentral.